RNAcentral lists this ribosomal RNA (490 nucleotides) under uncultured delta proteobacterium. RNAcentral's name for it is "bacterial SSU rRNA". It matches the Rfam family "Bacterial small subunit ribosomal RNA", at positions 97 to 573 of the family's 1533-position model. The record is from RNAcentral. Lineage: Bacteria; Deltaproteobacteria.
GGCGCACGGGUGAGUAACACGUGGAUAAUCUGCCCUUCGAUGGGGGACAACAGUUCGAAAGGACUGCUAAUACCGCAUACGUCACCGGGGACUGCGGUCCUUGGUGGGAAAGCUGGCUUCGGCUGGCGUCGAAGGAGGAGUCCGCGUCGCAUCAGCUAGUUGGUGGGGUAAUGGCCUACCAAGGCGAAGACGCGUAGCUGGUCUGAGAGGAUGAUCAGCCACACUGGGACUGAGACACGGCCCAGACUCCUACGGGAGGCAGCAGUGGGGAAUAUUGGACAAUGGGCGAAGGCCUGAUCCAGCCACGCCGCGUGAGUGAUGAAGGCCUUCGGGUCGUAAAGCUCUGUGGGGAGGGACGAAACCUCGGUCGUUAAUAGCGGCCGGGCUGACGGUACCUCCUUAGCAGGCACCGGCUAACUCCGUGCCAGCAGCCGCGGUAAUACGGAGGGUGCAAACGUUGCUCGGAAUCAUUGGGCGUAAAGCGCACGUA